Alosa sapidissima (American shad) is the source of this 1094-nucleotide long non-coding RNA. RefSeq lists it as uncharacterized. The record is from RefSeq and is a predicted model, not a curated record. NCBI's taxonomy places the organism in Eukaryota, Metazoa, Chordata, Actinopteri, Clupeiformes, Clupeidae. The transcript is spliced from 2 exons.
GUGACAUUUGAAAGGGGGGGUAGAUGUAGCCAGUGGGACUUUAGGACCCAGGAGCGAGUGGCAAGGGCUUAAAGGCUGAGGUGCCCAUAGGGGCGGGUUCUUGUGUUUUCAGUCAGCUGCUUAGCCAGGGAAACGGAGCGGAGUGGAACCGCGAUUACAGAUGAGUGUUGGUGGCCAGUGUGCUGGCGUUCCGUGUGUUGAAGGGUUUGUGUGCAGUCACCAGUAGUUGAAUCACGGAAGCGUCUCUGGGUUUAACGCCGAAGGGGCGUGUAAAUAGAACGAAUCUCGAUAUCCGCUGGGAACUCUCUCUAACUCUCACGGCCAGACUGUGCUGGUGUUACAGGGUGUGUGUAUAAUUGCUGCCGUGUGCUAGGGUGGAUGGCCUAGCCAAACCCGUUGUUAUACCAGGUCCCGUGCGCUCCGUCAUACGUGUGCACUGGCUUCUGUGCGAUCCGGCGUCUGUGUGUGUCUGUUCACACGAGGUUAUUAGAAGCGUUUUGUGAAUGAACCCCAUCUCUCGUCUUGUUUACUUUGUUUGGACAUCCAGCCACUGUUUUCUCAUGUAUGAAACUUAUGUAUGUUUUUAUCAUUCAUUGAUAUCAUGCCUAUGAACUUAUAUGGUUAAUGUCAAGCUCUUCCGGUCAUUAAUCUUUUACCAUUGAGAUAAAUUGUUGUUAGCACUCACGCACUUUACUUGUUCUCAAAUUUAAGUGGCCAUUGCUUGGGUUCUCGUAGCUAGUUGGCAGAGCUCAAUGCUCAAUGUAUUAAGGUGACCACUGUGUGGUGUGAUUAGAGUUUGUGUGUACUAACAAAGCACUUUAUGGUUAAUGCAGUGUAGCCUUGGUUGCUGUCUUUGGUGUGCUGAAUCCAUUUGGAGCCUUGUGCUCAUGAUGAACUAAAUGCGGAUUUCCUGUCAACAUUGAGUACUGUGGUCCGGCCCAAUAUUUAGUGUAAAUCUCUCCUAUGAAGGCUUGUCUACGAGAACUCAUGUAUGUGUCUAUGAUGUAUUACUACCAUUAAUGUUGUUACUGUACGAAGCACCUAUUUUAAUAACUCUGCAGACCAUAAAUAAAUUGUCUACAUUGCUUUUGCUA